Molecule: ribosomal RNA, 506 nt
Filed under: uncultured bacterium
Lineage: Bacteria
Description: partial 16S ribosomal RNA
Rfam family: Bacterial small subunit ribosomal RNA
Source: RNAcentral
AGUGAACGCUGGCGGUAGGCCUAACACAUGCAAGUCGAACGGCAGCACAGAGGAGCUUGCUCCUUGGGUGGCGAGUGGCGGACGGGUGAGGAAUACAUCGGAAUCUACUCUGUCGUGGGGGAUAACGUAGGGAAACUUACGCUAAUACCGCAUACGACCUACGGGUGAAAGCAGGGGAUCUUCGGACCAUGCGCGAUUGAAUGAGCCGAUGUCGGAUUAGCUAGUUGGCGGGGUAAAGGCCCACCAAGGCGACGAUCCGUAGCUGGUGUGAGAGGAUGAUCAGCCACACUGGAACUGAGACACGGUCCAGACUCCUACGGGAGGCAGCAGUGGGGAAUAUUGGACAAUGGGCGCAAGCCUGAUCCAGCCAUACCGCGUGGGUGAAGAAGGCCUUCGGGUUGUAAAGCCCUUUUGUUGGGAAAGAAAUCCAUCUGGUUAAUACCCGGGUGGGAUGACGGUACCCAAAGAACAAGCACCGGCUAACUUCGUGCCAGCCGCCGCCGUAA